RNAcentral lists this ribosomal RNA (468 nucleotides) under uncultured bacterium. Its description in RNAcentral is "partial 16S ribosomal RNA". It matches the Rfam family "Bacterial small subunit ribosomal RNA", at positions 28 to 507 of the family's 1533-position model. The record is from RNAcentral.
GACGAACGCUGGCGGCGUGCUUAACACACGCAAGUCGAACGGAAAGGCCCUGCUUUUGUGGGGUGCUCGAGUGGCGAACGGGUGAGUAACACGUGAGUAACCUGCCCUUGACUUUGGGAUAACUUCAGGAAACUGGGGCUAAUACCGGAUAGGAGCUCCUGCUGCAUGGUGGGGGUUGGAAAGUUUCGGCGGUUGGGGAUGGACUCGCGGCUUAUCAGCUUGUUGGUGGGGUAGUGGCUUACCAAGGCUUUGACGGGUAGCCGGCCUGAGAGGGUGACCGGCCACAUUGGGACUGAGAUACGGCCCAGACUCCUACGGGAGGCAGCAGUGGGGAAUAUUGCACAAUGGGCGGAAGCCUGAUGCAGCAACGCCGCGUGCGGGAUGACGGCCCUCGGGUUGUAAACCGCUUUCGCCUGUGACGAAGCGUGAGUGACGGUAAUGGGUAAAGAAGCACCGGCUAACUACGUG